RNAcentral lists this ribosomal RNA (527 nucleotides) under uncultured bacterium. RNAcentral's name for it is "bacterial SSU rRNA". It matches the Rfam family "Bacterial small subunit ribosomal RNA", at positions 984 to 1509 of the family's 1533-position model. The record is from RNAcentral.
ACAUCCAGAGAACUUAGCAGAGAUGGCUUUGGUGCCUUCGGGGAACUCUGAGACAGGUGCUGCAUGGCUGUCGUCAGCUCGUGUUGUGAAAUGUUGGGUUAAGUCCCGNAACGAGCGCAACCCUUAUCCUUUGUUGCCAGCGGUUCGGCCGGGAACUCAAAGGAGACUGCCGGUGAUAAACCGGAGGAAGGUGGGGAUGACGUCAAGUCAUCAUGGCCCUUACGGCCAGGGCUACACACGUGCUACAAUGGCGCAUACAAAGAGAAGCGACCUCGCGAGAGCAAGCGGACCUCAUAAAGUGCGUCGUAGUCCGGAUUGGAGUCUGCAACUCGACUCCAUGAAGUCGGAAUCGCUAGUAAUCGUAGAUCAGAAUGCUACGGUGAAUACGUUCCCGGGCCUUGUACACACCGCCCGUCACACCAUGGGAGUGGGUUGCAAAAGAAGUAGGUAGCUUAACCUUCGGGAGGGCGCUUACCACUUUGUGAUUCAUGACUGGGGUGAAGUCGUAACAAGGUAGGCGUAGCGAG